Molecule: ribosomal RNA, 254 nt
Filed under: uncultured bacterium
Lineage: Bacteria
Description: partial 16S ribosomal RNA
Rfam family: Bacterial small subunit ribosomal RNA
Source: RNAcentral
GACAGAGGUGCCAAGCGUUAGGCGGAAUCACUGGGCUUAAAGCGUGUGUAGGUGGAUUUGUAAGUACCUUGUGAAAUCCCAUGGCUCAACCAUGGAACUGCUCGGUAUACUGCGAAUCUUGAGCCACUUAGGGGCUACCGGAACAAAUGGUGGAGCGGUGAAAUGGCGUAGAUAUCAUUUGGAACGCCAAUGGUGAAAACAGGUAGCUGGGAGUGUGCUGACACUGAGACACGAAAGCCAGGGGAGCGAACGGG